GAUGAAGAACGCAGCGAAAUGCGAUAAGUAAUGCGAAUUGCAGAAUUCCAGUGAGUCAUCGAAUCUUUGAACGCACAUUGCGCCCGCCAGUAUUCUGGCGGGCAUGCCUGUUCGAGCGUCAUUUCAACCAUCAAGCCCCCGGCUUGUGUUGGGGACCUGCGGCUGCCGCAGGCCCUGAAAAGCAGUGGCGGGCUCGCUGUCACACCGAGCGUAGUAGCAUACAUCUCGCUCUGGGCGUGCUGCGGGUUCCGGCCGUUAAACCACCUUCAUAACCCAAGGUUGACCUCGGAUCAGGUAGGAAGACCCGCUGAACUUAAGCAUAUCAAUAAGCGGAGGA
Molecule: unclassified non-coding RNA, 337 nt
Filed under: soil metagenome
Description: partial contains 5.8S ribosomal RNA, internal transcribed spacer 2, and large subunit ribosomal RNA
Rfam family: 5.8S ribosomal RNA (bases 1-121)
Source: RNAcentral